AUACUUACCUGGCAGGGGAGAUGCCAUGAUCAUGUGGGUGGCUUUCCCAGGGCAAGCCUUAUCUAUUGCACUCCAGAUGUGCUGAACUCUGCAAUUUCCCCAGCUGUGGGAAACUUGAUUGCAUGAUUUGUGGCAGUUGGGGACUGCGUUUGCACUCUCCCCUG
Small nuclear RNA from Choloepus didactylus (southern two-toed sloth), 164 nucleotides. RefSeq annotates it as U1 spliceosomal RNA. The transcript has a single exon. The record is from RefSeq and is a predicted model, not a curated record. Lineage: Eukaryota; Metazoa; Chordata; Mammalia; Pilosa; Megalonychidae.